UUAGCGGCGAACGGGUGAGUAACACGUGAGGAACCUGCCCUCGAGUCUGGGAUAACCCCGGGAAACCGGAGCUAAUACCGGAUGCCCUCUUUGGAUCGCAUGGUCCGCUGAGGAAAGUUUUUCGCUCGAGGAGGGUCUCGCGGCCUAUCAGCUUGUUGGUGGGGUAACGGCCUACCAAGGCGUCGACGGGUAGCUGGUCUGAGAGGACGACCAGCCACACUGGGACUGAGACACGGCCCAG
Molecule: ribosomal RNA, 241 nt
Filed under: uncultured bacterium
Lineage: Bacteria
Description: partial 16S ribosomal RNA
Rfam family: Bacterial small subunit ribosomal RNA
Source: RNAcentral